Molecule: long non-coding RNA, 1093 nt
Organism: Homo sapiens (human)
Lineage: Eukaryota; Metazoa; Chordata; Mammalia; Primates; Hominidae
Gene: NDUFA6-DT
Product: NDUFA6 divergent transcript
Source: RefSeq, marked validated
ACCAGGCUGGAGUGCAAUGAUGCGAUCUCGGCUCACUGCAGCCUCUGUCUCCCAGGUUCAAGCAAUUCUCCUGCCUCAGCCUCCUGAGUAGCUGGGAUUACAGGUCACGACCCCCAGGAGACCUGGAGGACUGAAUGCUGCUGCCCCCAAGGAGGAGGCUGCCGUCUUAUCCCAGGAGGGAGAGCAGGUGAAGUCCCCAGGGGAGGAAGCACCUAGCCCCAUUCCUGCUGAGCAGGAGGUGGCAGGUACCCCAGACUGGGAGGUAAGGACAGCCCGGGGCUUCGACUGAACGUCUCCAGCGUGGGUCCAACUGAGCAGCCAUGGAGCACUGCAGAGUGGGAGGCAGCAGGGCAGGGAGGCAGUGCUGGAGGCUGGCUCAACCCCAAGACCAGCAGGCCAAGCUGCCAUCCCAGGGGAGCGAGGACGUCUGUGCAGAGCUGAGAGGCAGCAGCCAUGUGUGAACAGACUGGGCCUCAUCCUGGCCCACCGACUUUGUGUGGACAGAGCCUGUUUCCCUGUCUGUGCAACACAGAACCUGCCUGAUCUCACUGCUGGAUCCCUCUUCUUCCUGCCAGGAAAAUAAAAAGGUUCAAAAGGAAGUUGCUGCGUAUCCAUCUGAGGCCUCUGAGGACAGCAAAGAGCAAAGGCCCUGGGACCGGGUCUACGUGCCCAUGACAGAGCUCUGGCUGGACUGGUUCUGAGCCUCUAACACCCCCAAGACUCAGAACCGUGAAGAAAAUCUUUCCAAUAAAUCCAAGAGUUGCUGCUGCUAUAGGCCAGGCUGCCACCUUUCGGGGCCUCCGUCUUCAGACAAACCCAGCCUGGCUUCAUCCACACUCCCUGUCCCCACAGCUGCAGGAACAGCACUUCCUGCCACCGAGCCGUGUGACCACAGUGGAUUGUCUCUGGAGGGGCCCAAGGGGGCCCUGGCCACCCUUCUGACUGACUCGGUGCCAGGGGACAGACCAACGUCCCUCUCGUGCUGACAGCCGGGCCGCACCCUGGCAUGAGGGCAUUUACAGAAAUGCUGGCGGAACUGCUGCCAGGGAGGCUGUAGGGUCCUCUGGCAAAAGAGGCCUCAGGUGGCUCCUCA